CGGCACGUAGCGCAGCCUGGUAGCGCACCGUCAUGGGGUGUCGGGGGUCGGAGGUUCAAAUCCUCUCGUGCCGACCAAAAAUC
RNAcentral lists this transfer RNA (83 nucleotides) under Escherichia coli. RNAcentral's name for it is "tRNA-Pro". The stretch from base 1 to 74 matches the Rfam family "tRNA". Rfam says of the family: Transfer RNA (tRNA) molecules are approximately 80 nucleotides in length. The record is from RNAcentral. Lineage: Bacteria; Pseudomonadati; Pseudomonadota; Gammaproteobacteria; Enterobacterales; Enterobacteriaceae.